AUACGGAGGGUGCGAGCGUUAAUCGGAAUUACUGGGCGUAAAGCGUACGUAGGCGGUUGGUUAAGUUAGAUGUGAAAGCCCCGGGCUUAACCUGGGAACUGCAUUUAAAACUGGCGAACUAGAGUUGAGUAGAGGGGAGUGGAAUUUCAGGUGUAGCUGUGAAAUGCGUAGAGAUCAGAAGGAACACCAGUGGCGAAGGCGACUCCCUGGACUCGAACUGACGCUGAGGUACGAAAGCGUGGGUAGCAAACGGGAUUAGAAACCCCAGUAGUCC
RNAcentral lists this ribosomal RNA (274 nucleotides) under uncultured bacterium. RNAcentral's name for it is "partial 16S ribosomal RNA". It matches the Rfam family "Bacterial small subunit ribosomal RNA", at positions 523 to 796 of the family's 1533-position model. The record is from RNAcentral.